Molecule: non-coding RNA, 276 nt
Organism: Pelobates cultripes (western spadefoot toad)
Lineage: Eukaryota; Metazoa; Chordata; Amphibia; Anura; Pelobatidae
Source: the annotation of a GenBank genome assembly
CCCAACUUCUAUUGAGUUUUAGCCACCCUGAUAUUACCCUUUAGGAUAUCUUGAUAAUCUUGGACAUUCAUUCUACCUUUGGUGACGGUCCAAAACAUGGUCAAUUGGUGCUGAAGUAAAGUGCAGAAUUGCUAAAGCCAACUGCUAAAUGCCUUUGACUGAUUGCACUCUUACAUCUGGGAAAUUCAAGGGAUCUGCCUACCAAUGAAACUGAAGGUCUACCAAUCAGUGGUGCUUCCAACUCUUCUGUACUCCUAUGAGGAGUGGACAGUUUAC